RNAcentral lists this transfer RNA (71 nucleotides) under Podarcis tiliguerta. RNAcentral's name for it is "tRNA-Gln". It matches the Rfam family "tRNA". From Rfam's summary of the family: Transfer RNA (tRNA) molecules are approximately 80 nucleotides in length. Their secondary structure includes four short double-helical elements and three loops (D, anti-codon, and T loops). Further hydrogen bonds mediate the characteristic L-shaped molecular structure. tRNAs have two regions of fundamental functional importance: the anti-codon, which is responsible for specific mRNA codon recognition, and the 3' end, to which the tRNAs corresponding amino acid is attached (by aminoacyl-tRNA synthetases). tRNAs cope with the degeneracy of the genetic code in two manners: having more than one tRNA (with a specific anti-codon) for a particular amino acid; and 'wobble' base-pairing, i.e. permitting non-standard base-pairing at the 3rd anti-codon position. The record is from RNAcentral. Lineage: Eukaryota; Metazoa; Chordata; Lepidosauria; Squamata; Lacertidae.
UAGGAGAUAGUAUAUUGGUAGUACAAAGAAUUUUGGAUUCUUAGGUGUAGGUUCAAAUCCCAUUCUUCUAG